This 497-nucleotide ribosomal RNA is filed under the name uncultured bacterium. RNAcentral's name for it is "partial 16S ribosomal RNA". It matches the Rfam family "Bacterial small subunit ribosomal RNA", at positions 28 to 507 of the family's 1533-position model. The record is from RNAcentral.
GAUGAACGCUGGCGGCGUGCCUAAUACAUGCAAGUCGAGCGAACAGAUGAGGAGCUUGCUCCUCUGACGUUAGCGGCGGACGGGUGAGUAACACGUGGAUAACCUACCUAUAAGACUGGGAUAACUUCGGGAAACCGGAGCUAACACCGGAUAAUAUAUUGAACCGCAUGGAUCAAUAGUGAAAGACGGUUUUGCUGUCACUUAUAGAUGGAUCCGCGCCGCAUUAGCUAGUUGGUAAGGUAACGGCUUACCAAGGCAACGAUGCGUAGCCGACCUGAGAGGGUGAUCAGCCACACUGGAACUGAGACACGGUCCAGACUCCUACGGGAGGCAGCAGUAGGGAAUAUUCGACAAUGGGCGAAAGCCUGACGGAGCAACGCCGCGUGAGUGAUGAAGGUCUUCGGAUCGUAAAACUCUGUUAUUAGGGAAGAACAAAUGUAUAAGUAUCUAUGCACGUCUUGACGGUACCUAAUCAGAAAGCCACGGCUAACUACGUG